This 221-nucleotide long non-coding RNA is filed under the name Elaeis guineensis (African oil palm). RNAcentral describes it as "long non-coding RNA (EGUI_LNC000678)". The record is from RNAcentral. Lineage: Eukaryota; Viridiplantae; Streptophyta; Magnoliopsida; Arecales; Arecaceae.
CAAUCCAAUGUCCUACCUAAGAAUCUUCAAUUUGAAAAUGACAAAGUAAUCUCUGAACUUAGAAGUGAUAGGAUUCUUAAGGAUCCAUUCCAAAAUCAAGUGAGUGAAGCUAGUACUGAUGCUAGCCAAAAAAAAAUUUAGAAGAAAAGGUUAGUAUUGAGACUAACCCAAUAGAAGAACCUGAGCCCAGUAUUGAUACUGAUCUAAGUGAAAAAGAGAAG